Molecule: long non-coding RNA, 3050 nt
Organism: Lolium perenne
Lineage: Eukaryota; Viridiplantae; Streptophyta; Magnoliopsida; Poales; Poaceae
Source: RefSeq, a predicted model, not a curated record
UUAUGGUUCUAUGAUUGAAAAGAAAGAAACAUGAUCACAUGUUAUAAUUUCUAGGGUUUAGGGUUAGAAGCAAUUUAGGUUUUUUUUUUUACAUAAAAUAGAGUUAGGGUUUCAUACAUGAGGUAACUAGGUUUUCAUUUUAUUUCCCUCUUGUCAAAGGAACAACUUGGUAAGUAAAGUUGAAUUUAGGAAACAACUCUUAAAUAUAAUUCAAUAAUGGUUUUAACAUUUUUCUUAUUUUUCUUAUAAGAAAAUGAUAAUUAGUAUUAAUACCAUUUAGGGUUUAAAUGAUAAUCUUAAUGUUAACAUGAUGAAAGAAAAUUACUUCUAGUGUUUUCUUUAUUUUUCCUAAAUGAUUUUUAUUUAAUGUAUAGAUAUUAAACACACAUAAGCGCAUAUAUUACUUCUAAGCACUUGUAUGUAUAAGUGCUAUACACAUGUGUGUACGUGUAUUAGUACACUAGUUUGCAAUAUAACAACGUGUAUUAGUACACUAGUUUGCAAUAUAACACACACGCACACAUAUUAAUGGGCUAGUUGUAAUUUAGGUAGAGCUAAUGGGAUAGUUAAGUGAUUGGCUUCAACUACGGCCAUUAGCAUAGUCGGCCACAGCUGGCCAGCGAGUUGGGUCAAACCUACUUGCGUACACGAACACAACACGCGCACGCGAUUCCUCUGUUCAGCACUCGCACUCGAUGCGGCCGUCGCCGCUGCUCACGGCUCCGGCCAUCGCCGGCCGCCUGCAGUGCCGCCAAUCACCGGCGAGGCUCAGCAUCCACAUGCUCUAACUCUCCAUCUUUUCAAUUGGGUCCUCGAGGCCUCGCUCGGACGACCUCGUGUUGAUCCCCUCUCAUGACUACACGGCCGCGUGGCCUAGCUCCGGCUGAUUCCGGCCAUUGCCGGGUAUCUCCGGCGCUGCCCUGUACCGGCGAGGCUACUCCUCCAUCUCUCCCACGGCUCCCCUUCACCUUUACUUGUUCCUGUGCUCGCGCGCGUAUUCUGGCUAACCCUAGCCCCUGCUGUUUCGGCGGUCGCCGGCCGACACCGGCGCUGCCGCGUCCACGCGACACAGGUCAACCUCUGCCUUGUCCUCUCUACCGUGCCGCCGCCACUCGCACCCACGCCCCUGGUUAACCCUAGCCAUGGAUUUGGUUUGGUGGCUGGAGCGAUGCCGAUGUGAUGUUACUGGUGUACUGAUUGUGAGGCCGUGCUGGUGAUGUGGUGCGGCAAUGAUGCCGUGGUGGUGAUGCCGCUGGUGUAUCGUGUGUCGACCACCGUAUCAACGCUGGCAAGAUGGCGUCGCAGGCGCAACCUUGGCGUCCACGAUCUCGUUUCCUCCACUGCAGCAAUGGUUCUACUUGGUUGGCAUGGGAAUAAUUCUUGGACCCUAAGUAGUUCCCGAUAGCAUGCUGAAUUGUUGAUUAACAGUGGCUGCUUAUGGUGAGGACUAAAUCAUGUGCAUAAAUGAUAUUGUACAGUAGCUGUGUUGGAAUGCACAAACUGAUGCUUUCCUGAGUUCUUGAAUAUGAUCUAGUUGCGGAUUAUCAACUAGAGAUGAUUUUUGUAUGGUUGGAUUUUAUUGGUGGACCUUGAUGUUCCCUUUUUGAUCAGCUAUAACUGAUAAGAACAUAUUUGGCUUGAUCUUGUAGCCUUGCCAAUGAUGCAAAGGCUGAGGCACUAUUUGUAAUAAGAAUAGAUAUAUGUUGCUUAUUUUAUCCUCUAUGAUGAUUCAGCAUAGCACCUCUAUGCAGAUCUGAGAGGAAUAUAUCUUUCUAUCCUCCUAGGUGAAAACCUAGUUGAAGGGUAGCUAGAUGAUUUUACUGUGUAUAUGGUUCUAUUUCCCCGAAAAUGUCUAUGGAAGAACAAAUAUUGUGUGAUAUAUUUAAGCUAGUGGUUGGUCUCUACCUGUUGCUCUAUAGCUUGAUAGCUGGUUGGUUCUUCUAGCUUCUGUGAUACUUUGCUUCUGGUGGCAUGCCUUCUCCUCCUUACUUCCUGAUCUGCUUCUUUAUGAUCUAGCUGAUGAAUGGGUAACUGCUAUCAACAGAACUAUUGAUAUGAUUUGGUUGGUUUGGUUAGUGGAGAUAUUGUGAAGGAGCUUCAGAUGAGUCUGCUGGUGUGCUCAAGAGGUGUUGCGGUUGAAUGAGUGUGUGUACUAUGAAUUCUUCCUGGUAGAGGGGUUUAUAUACUACUUAUACUGCUGGGCUCAUGUUGUGGUGUCGACAGCACACAGGUUGCAUGUGGUGACUAUGCUGCCUGUGUGUUCCUGGUACAUUGCAUGUGAUCAAGUAGAUAUUUGUGUGCCUCCUAGUGCAAGUCAGUGAGGCACGCCUGUUUGAUCUUAUCUACUAAGGUGGCCUUUAUUUUUGCUACUGCCAACUGUAUUACUUUGAUUGGCUGUGAUGGUUAUAUGCUGAAACAAGAUGUGAGUUUUAUUACUUAUUAUGUGUGGCUAUUGAUUCAUCUUGACUAACUAUUGUCAAUGGUGAAUUACUUAAAUUGAAAACUUGUAGGCAUUUAAUAGACACUAGCUAGAUUAAAGGGAAAUGAUAAAUUGAUUGCCUUGUUGCCUCAAAUAGUGUUGCCUUGUCAUCUGGAUCAAUUACUGUUGCCUAAGUGAUAUUCAAUCCCUGAUGUUGCAGUCCUUGUUGCCUCAUGAUAUUACUGACCCUGUCUCCUAAUUGAUGUUCAGUCCCUCUAAUCACCAUUUGGGAUCAAGAUUAGUUCUUGACUCCCAUUAGCUAGUUUCCAACAUUAAAAUGCCUCAUCAUGGAUGAUGGCGACAUUUUAAUCGUAACACUAUUCUCUUUUGUCUUUGUUGUUUGUUUUACAGGAAGAAAGGAUAAGAAGAGGAAUAGAAGAUUUAGUUUAGGGUUUUCUUUUAUUCUUUUGUAAUUUUAUAUUUCUUUUCUAACGUGUAAUUUGUUGAAUAAUGUUAUUUGUAAUAAAGUUUAACUCAUUUAUUCAUUUGUAAUUAUCAAAUGUAUUUACUUUUACAUAUUAUAUUUAUAUACUUGUUUAGAUUUCAAAUUCCAAUUCAAAUUCUUAUUUGA